RNA transcript from Musa acuminata AAA Group (dessert banana), 3044 nucleotides. It is a transcript of the gene named two-component response regulator ORR24-like, with no coding region annotated. Lineage: Eukaryota; Viridiplantae; Streptophyta; Magnoliopsida; Zingiberales; Musaceae. The record is from RefSeq and is a predicted model, not a curated record. The transcript has 8 exons.
AAGGCAGCCAAAAGUUGAUGUGAGGACAAGAAGGUGGUCUGAUCUCAUACCAUAGUUUUCAUAGAUCUCAGCCCCUGCAAGAUUUCAUCGACGCCUAUCGUUGGUGCUCAUUGAUGGCAAAGUGGAGAUAAGGCCAAAAAGGAGCGAGCCUCCGAAUGAGGAAGAAAGGAAAGUUCCCAUUUUGACGGGUGCAUGAAUUGAGGCAGCAGUCACUCUUCUCCUUCCUCCGAUUCCCAGCCCUCUGCCAUUCCUUCUUGCCCUAUUUGACUUCCUCUCUCUCUGUCUCUCGCGCGCGCGUCCAAAGUCCACUCCUUUCUGUCUCUACACCGUCCAAUAGCUUACAUCUUUCUUCAAAGUUUGCAUCUUUCCCUCUCCCUGUUCUCGGCCAUCUCCUCCUACCUUUGACCGCAGCGUGUGUCCCUUGGGGUGUUCUUGCAGUUCCUGGGAUAAGUGUGUUGUUUGACUUGCUCUGGGUUGGCAAAGGGUUGAUUUGGGAGCAUGACGAUUGAAGAGAGCAUGGGGAGCAGAGAUCAGUUCCCCGUCGGCAUGCGUGUUCUUGCGGUGGAUGAUGAUCCCAUAUGUCUCAGGUUGUUGGAGGCCCUGCUGCGCCGCUGCCAGUACAAUGUUACGACGACUGAUAAAGCGAUCACCGCAUUGAAGUUGUUGAGGGAGAACAAAGACAAGUUCGAUCUGGUUAUCAGCGACGUCCACAUGCCGGACAUGGAUGGUUUCAAGCUCUUAGAGCUUGUCGGCCUGGAGAUGGACCUGCCAGUUAUUAUGUUGUCCGCAAAUGGUGAAACCCAAACUGUGAUGAAGGGAAUCACUCAUGGAGCUUGUGACUAUCUGCUGAAGCCUGUGCGGAUCGAGGAGCUGAGAAACAUAUGGCAGCAUGUCAUUAGGAGGAGGAAGUUUGAAAGACGAUGCGACAACGAUCCUGACGGUAGGGAGGAUGGCCAAAAGUCUCAAGUUGCAAAGUCCGAAGAUGGCCAAGGGGCAGCUGAUCACAGUGGAAAAAUCAACAAGAAACGGAAGGAUCAGAGUGAAGUGGAUGAAGAUGAUAGUGAAGACAACAUGCUAGAUAAUGAAGACCCGUCUGCCCAGAAAAAGCCUAGGGUUGUUUGGACUGUUGAGCUGCACAGGAAAUUUGUUGCUGCUGUUAAUCAACUGGGUGUCGACAAGGCUGUACCGAAGAAAAUACUUGAUCUCAUGAAUGUGGAAAAACUAACAAGGGAGAAUGUUGCAAGCCAUCUACAGAAGUAUAGGCUCUAUCUGAAAAGGCUCAGCGCAGUGGCAGGCCAUCAAGCUAGCAUCACUGCAGCUGUCGGAGUUAGAAAUCCAUCCUAUCUUCAUAUGGCCUCUUUCAAUGGUCUCAGAAAUUACUGUGCAAUCAAUGGAUCAAAACAACUGCCAAUCCUUGGAUCCCUUCAACAGAAUGGGUUUGGUAGAAUGAAUAGUCCUAUGCUAGGAAUGCAUGCACUACUACCUUCUCAGACAGUUCAGCUUGGUGGUGCGCACAAAAAUGCAAGCAAUCCAUGCAAUGAUUUAGGGAAGAUACCAGGGAUCAUUUUACAAGGAAAUCAUCGAGUCAAUUUGCUUCAGGGGGUGCCCACGGCUUUGGAGUUAGAGCAAUUUCCACAACCUAAGUUAAUGCAGGAAGCAAAAAGCCACUUCCCUGCAGGCUUAUCUGAUAGUGGACUUGCUGCUGGUCCUUGCAGUAAUUCUUUUCCUAAUGUUACUAACAAUUCUCUAUUAGUGCAAGCUAACAAGCAACACAAUCAAUCAGGAGGAUUAGACAAUUUUUCAAUAGUUAGAAUGCCUUCCUCGAGCUCAGAGCUUUUUGAGAUUGAUCUUCAAGAUGUGUCUCAGUUUUCCAGUAUCAGUAGAUGUGAUGGCUCAUGGCAGGGUGCUGUUGCAUCAACUGAGUAUUCUGCAAAUCCCUUGCCUAUACUUGCUCCUUAUAAUCAUACUGAUAUACCUCCUGGUAAUGUUGGAAGAAACAUUUCUACGGUAACUUCACAUCCAGUCACCAGGACUCUUGAUGAAUCUCCAAACAUUAAGGCUGUUGCACCUCUUUGUAAUCCAACUACAAGUAAUGGUGUAAACCAGGUUCGUUUGCUUAGUGCGAGCUCAGUGCCCACAGCUCUUGACAAAGAUCCAAAGUUCUCAAAUUUCAAUAUAAUAGGCAACUCUCAGCAGAAAUGGGAUUACACAUUUAAUCCAAAUGCCGUUUCAAGUGCUUCCUCAAGUUCUUCAUUGCCCAAUCUUAGGAUUACUGAUGCAACUGCUCAGUGUCGGACAUCAGAAUUUGUCUUUUCUAAUAAAAAUUUGGAUGUUGAUUCAAUAGGCCAAGUGAAUUUUGGUUCUCCACUCAUAACACAGAAUUGCAUGAUUGAUAAGCCAACUAGUGAUAGUCAGCUGAAUUUUAAGGGUGAAUACGGCUCCACAAGUUUUCAGAGUGGACUAAAUUCUGCUGGUUGCAGCUUGGAUGAUCUUGUGAAUGCCAUGAUUAAACCUAAUCUAUAACUCUAGGAAUGGGUUUGUUGAGUUAAAAGCAGAGAAUAACUGAAUGUGGAACAUUAAUGGGGCAUUUUGGGUUACAUGGAGAGUUAUCAUUUAUCAGAAUAUGACACAAUUUAUGAAAGUCUUUGCUGCCAGGUUUUGUAUGAAGCAGACUAUGAGCCUCAAAUAUGAAGAACAGAAACAAAAUAAUCGCCUAUUUGAACCGAAGUGAUAUCUUGAGAUUAAUGAUUUGGUGAACAAGCUCAUCUACUUGACAUGCUCGACAAAUAGGAGCGCGACGAGAUUGCUUUCGCGGAUAUGGACUUGGGAUGUGAUGUCUACUCUUUAGGUACUUGCAUGUGAAGGUCUUUUCACAAACGAUCUCCAUCAAUCAUCAAUGGAAUUUAGGCAGGGCAUUGUUACGACCGACAUACGGUCAAGCUUGUUUAUCCUUUAAUAUUUGUUUUUCCUAGAACGAUGAACACGAGUGUAGCUGAGGAGUGUGUUAUGUUGGGUGCGAUAAUGAUACCGACCAUUGUCUUUCA